RNAcentral lists this microRNA precursor (77 nucleotides) under Chlorocebus sabaeus (green monkey). Its description in RNAcentral is "miRNA (ENSCSAG00000021468.1)". Lineage: Eukaryota; Metazoa; Chordata; Mammalia; Primates; Cercopithecidae. The record is from RNAcentral.
UCACUUUGGUGCCUAGGCUGAGACCGAAGUGGUGCAAUCUCAGCUCACCACAGCCUUGACCUCUUGGGCUCAGGUGA